Molecule: ribosomal RNA, 253 nt
Filed under: uncultured bacterium
Lineage: Bacteria
Description: partial 16S ribosomal RNA
Rfam family: Bacterial small subunit ribosomal RNA
Source: RNAcentral
UACGUAGGGGGCAAGCGUUGCUCGGAAUCACUGGGCGUAAAGCGCACGUAGGCGGCUUUCUAAGUCAGGGGUGAAAUCCUGGAGCUCAACUCCAGAACUGCCUUUGAUACUGGGAAGCUCGAGUCCGGAAGAGGUGAGUGGAACUCCGAGUGUAGAGGUGAAAUUCGUAGAUAUUCGGAAGAACACCAGUGGCGAAGGCGGCUCACUGGCCCGGUACUGACGCUGAGGUGCGAAAGCGUGGGGAGCAAACAGG